This 253-nucleotide ribosomal RNA is filed under the name uncultured bacterium. RNAcentral's name for it is "partial 16S ribosomal RNA". It matches the Rfam family "Bacterial small subunit ribosomal RNA", at positions 524 to 776 of the family's 1533-position model. The record is from RNAcentral.
GACAGAGGGUGCAACCGUUGCUCGGAAUUACUGGGCGUAAAGGGCGCGUAGGCGGCCUGCUAAGUCGGAUGUGAAAUCCCUCGGCUCAACCGAGGAACUGAAUCCGAUACUGGCGGGCUUGAAUCCGGGAGAGGGAUGUGGAAUUCCAGGUGGAGCGGUGAAAUGCGUAGAUAUCUGGAGGAACACCGGUGGCGAAGGCGGCAUCCUGGACCGGUAUUGACGUUGAGGCGCGAAAGCUAGGGGAGCAAACGGG